CAAUAGCGUAUAUUAAAGUUGUUGCAGUUAGAACGCUCGUAGUCGGAUUUCGGGGCGGGCCGACCGGUCUGCCGAUGGGUAUGCACUGGUCGGCGCGUCCUUCCUUCCGGAGACCGUCCCUACUCUUAACUGAGCGGGGGCGGGAGACGGGACUUUUACUUUGAAAAAAUCAGAGUGUUUCAAGCAGGCAGCUCGCUCUUGCAUGGACUAGCAUGGGAUAAUGAAAUAGGACUUUGGUGCUAUUUUGUUGGUUUCGAACACCGAAGUAAUGAUGAGAAGGGACAGUCAGGGGCACUCGUAUUCCGCCGAGAGAGGUGAAAUUCUCAGACCAGCGGAAGACGAACCACUGCGAAAGCAUUUGCCAGGGAUGUUUUCACUGA
This 380-nucleotide ribosomal RNA is filed under the name uncultured eukaryote. RNAcentral describes it as "partial 18S ribosomal RNA". It matches the Rfam family "Eukaryotic small subunit ribosomal RNA", at positions 592 to 976 of the family's 1831-position model. The record is from RNAcentral.